GAACUAGAGACCGGCGCACGGGUGCGUAACGCGUAUGCAAUCUACCUUUUACAGGGGGAUAGCCCAGAGAAAUUUGGAUUAAUACCCCAUAGUAUGUUAGAGUGGCAUCAUUUUAACAUUAAAGUUCCAACGGUAAAAGAUGAGCAUGCGUCCCAUUAGCUAGAUGGUAAGGUAACGGCUUACCAUGGCGACGAUGGGUAGGGGUCCUGAGAGGGAGAUCCCCCACACUGGUACUGAGACACGGACCAGACUCCUACGGGAGGCAGCAGUGAGGAAUAUUGGACAAUGGGCGCAAGCCUGAUCCAGCCAUGCCGCGUGCAGGAAGACGGUCCUAUGGAUUGUAAACUGCUUUUGUACAGGAAGAAACACUCCCUCGUGAGGGAGCUUGACGGUACUGUAAGAAUAAGGAUCGGCUAACUCCGUGCCAGCAGCCGCGGUAAUACGGAGGAUCCAAGCGUUAUCCGGAAUCAUUGGGUUUAAAGGGUCCGUAGGCGGCUUUAUAAGUCAGUGGUGAAAGCCCAUCGCUCAACGAUGGAACGGCCAUUGAUACUGUAGAGCUUGAAUUAUUAGGAAGUAACUAGAAUAUGUAGUGUAGCGGUGAAAUGCUUAGAGAUUACAUGGAAUACCAAUUGCGAAGGCAGGUUACUACUAAUGGAUUGACGCUGAUGGACGAAAGCGUGGGGAGCGAACAGGAUUAGAUACCCUGGUAGUCCACGCCGUAAACGAUGGAUACUAGCUGUUGGGGGCAACUUCAGUGGCUAAGCGAAAGUGAUAAGUAUCCCACCUGGGGAGUACGUUCGCAAGAAUGAAACUCAAAGGAAUUGACGGGGGCCCGCACAAGCGGUGGAGCA
RNAcentral lists this ribosomal RNA (851 nucleotides) under Flavobacterium succinicans. RNAcentral's name for it is "bacterial SSU rRNA". It matches the Rfam family "Bacterial small subunit ribosomal RNA", at positions 85 to 939 of the family's 1533-position model. Lineage: Bacteria; Pseudomonadati; Bacteroidota; Flavobacteriia; Flavobacteriales; Flavobacteriaceae. The record is from RNAcentral.